GGGGAAUUUUCCGCAAUGGGCGAAAGCCUGACGGAGCAAUACCGCGUGAGGGAGGAAGGCUCUUGGGUUGUAAACCUCUUUUCUCAGGGAAGAAAAAAAUGACGGUACCUGAGGAAUAAGCAUCGGCUAACUCCGUGCCAGCAGCCGCGGUAAUACGGAGGAUGCAAGCGUUAUCCGGAAUGAUUGGGCGUAAAGCGUCCGCAGGUGGCUAUGUAAGUCUGCUGUUAAAGAGCAAGGCUCAACCUUGUAAAGGCAGUGGAAACUACAUGGCUAGAGUGCGUUCGGGGCAGAGGGAAUUCCUGGUGUAGCGGUGAAAUGCGUAGAGAUCAGGAAGAACACCGGUGGCGAAAGCGCUCUGCUAGGCCGCAACUGACACUGAGGGACGAAAGCUAGGGGAGCGAAUGGGAUUAGAUACCCCAGUAGUCCUAGCCGUAAACGAUGGAUACUAGGCGUGGCUUGUAUCGACCCGAGCCGUGCCGUAGCUAACGCGUUAAGUAUCCCGCCUGGGGAGUACGCACGCAAGUGUGAAACUCAAAGGAAUUGACGGGGGCCCGCACAAGCGGUGGAGUAUGUGGUUUAAUUCGAUGCAACGCGAAGAACCUUACCAAGGCUUGACAUGUCGCGAAUCCUGCUGAAAGGCGGGAGUGCCUUCGGGAGCGCGAACACAGGUGGUGCAUGGCUGUCGUCAGCUCGUGUCGUGAGAUGUUGGGUUAAGUCCCGCAACGAGCGCAACCCUCGUUUUUAGUUGCCAGCACUUAGGGUGGGCACUCUAGAGAGACUGCCGGUGACAAACCGGAGGAAGGUGGGGAUGACGUCAAGUCAGCAUGCCCCUUACGUCUUGGGCUACACACGUACUACAAUGCUACGGACAGAGGGCAGCAAGCUAGCGAUAGCAAGCUAAUCCCGGAAACCGUAGCUCAGUUCAGAUCGCAGGCUGCAACUCGCCUGCGUGAAGGAGGAAUCGCUAGUAAUCGCAGGUCAGCAUACUGCAGUGAAUUCGUUCCCGGGCCUUGUACACACCGCCCGUCACACCAUGGAAGCUGGUCACGCCCGAAGUCAUUACCCCAACCGCAAGGAGGGGGAUGCCUAAGGCAGGACUGGUGACUGGGGUGAAGUCGUAACAAGGUAGCCGUACCGGAAGGUGUGGCUGGAUCACCUCCU
Molecule: ribosomal RNA, 1161 nt
Filed under: Cylindrospermum pellucidum CCALA 992
Lineage: Bacteria; Bacillati; Cyanobacteriota; Cyanophyceae; Nostocales; Nostocaceae
Description: bacterial SSU rRNA
Rfam family: Bacterial small subunit ribosomal RNA
Source: RNAcentral